This 374-nucleotide ribosomal RNA is filed under the name uncultured organism. RNAcentral describes it as "bacterial SSU rRNA". It matches the Rfam family "Bacterial small subunit ribosomal RNA", at positions 526 to 896 of the family's 1533-position model. The record is from RNAcentral.
CGUAGGGUGCGAGCGUUAAUCGGAAUUACUGGGCGUAAAGCGUGCGCAGGCGGUUUAGUAAGACAGGCGUGAAAUCCCCGGGCUCAACCUGGGAACUGCGCUUGUGACUGCUAAGCUAGAGUACGGCAGAGGGGGGUGGAAUUCCACGUGUAGCAGUGAAAUGCGUAGAGAUGUGGAGGAACACCAAUGGCGAAGGCAGCCCCCUGGGUCGAUACUGACGCUCAUGCACGAAAGCGUGGGUAGCAAACAGGAUUAGAUACCCUGGUAGUCCACGCCCUAAACGAUGUCAACUAGGUGUUGGGAGGGUUAAAACCUUUUAGUACCGGAGCUAACGCGUGAAGUUGACCGCCGUGGGGAGUACGGCCGCAAGGUUA